UACGGAGGGUGCAAGCGUUAUCCGGAUUCACUGGGUUUAAAGGGUGCGUAGGCGGGCAGGUAAGUCAGUGGUGAAAUCUCCGAGCUUAACUCGGAAACUGCCUUUGAUACUAUCUGUCUUGAAUAUUGUGGAGGUAAGCGGAAUAUGUCAUGUAGCGGUGAAAUGCUUAGAUAUGACAUAGAACACCUAUUGCGAAGGCAGCUUACUACGCAUAUAUUGACGCUGAGGCACGAAAGCGUGGGGAUCAAACAGG
This 253-nucleotide ribosomal RNA is filed under the name uncultured bacterium. Its description in RNAcentral is "partial 16S ribosomal RNA". It matches the Rfam family "Bacterial small subunit ribosomal RNA", at positions 524 to 776 of the family's 1533-position model. The record is from RNAcentral.